Molecule: ribosomal RNA, 495 nt
Filed under: uncultured bacterium
Lineage: Bacteria
Description: partial 16S ribosomal RNA
Rfam family: Bacterial small subunit ribosomal RNA
Source: RNAcentral
GACGAACGCUGGCGGCGUGCCUAAUACAUGCAAGUAGAACGCUUAAGGAGGGCCUUGCUUCUCUGGAUGAGUUGCGAACGGGUGAGUAACGCGUAGGUAACCUGCCUGGUAGCGGGGGAUAACUAUUGGAAACGAUAGCUAAUACCGCAUAAUAGCAGUUGUUGCAUGACAACUGUUUGAAAGGUGCAAAUGCAUCACUACCAGAUGGACCUGCGUUGUAUUAGCUAGUUGGUGGGGUAAAGGCUCACCAAGGCGACGAUACAUAGCCGACCUGAGAGGGGGAUCGGCCAGACUGGGACUGAGACACGGCCCAGACGCCUACAGGAGGGAGCAGUAGGGAAACUGCGGGAAGAGGCGGAAGUCAGAGCGAACAACGCCGCGGGAGUGAAGAAGGUUGUCGGAUCGGAAAGCACGGUUGUAAGAGAAGAAAGAGUGUGAGAGUGGAAAGUUCACACUGUGACGGUAUCUGAACAGAAAGGGACGGCUAACUACGUG